Long non-coding RNA from Copidosoma floridanum, 174 nucleotides. Lineage: Eukaryota; Metazoa; Arthropoda; Insecta; Hymenoptera; Encyrtidae. The record is from RefSeq and is a predicted model, not a curated record.
GAGUAGGGAUAUUAGAAUUACUUAGAACUUAUUUUUUUCUUCGUGUGCAAUAUAUACAUCAGUAUAAGUAUAUGUACAUAAGUUAAAACGUCACGAUCUGUUCGUAGGUAAUCAUGGAAUCGUAUUCAUCCAAGGAUCUUGAGGAAUGGGAAAAUUACAAAACUCAAUUCAAUA